Myotis daubentonii (Daubenton's bat) is the source of this 874-nucleotide long non-coding RNA. RefSeq lists it as uncharacterized. Lineage: Eukaryota; Metazoa; Chordata; Mammalia; Chiroptera; Vespertilionidae. The record is from RefSeq and is a predicted model, not a curated record.
CCCCACCCCCCACCCCCCACCCCCGUGGUGCCUCGACUUCCAGGGCCGCGGGUUUCACAACCUCGCUCCGUAUCUCUGAGACUCUCCAGCCGCUGCUCACCGUGCCCCCCAAAUAUGACGUGUUGAGUCAAGACGAACUACGCACAAAGCUAUACCAGACCUUCAAGGGCCGAGGUAUCCUGGACUCCCUCAAGGUAUCGGCUUUAGGCAUAUCUGUUCUGUAACUUUUACAAGUGGAAGCGGUAACAGGGAGUCCGCAUUUAAACCCACUGGGUCUUGGUUUUAAAAAUAAUAUGAUAUGCAGGUGGUAUUGGGGAGUGGCGCUUUUAUGUUUUGUAUAACUCGUUAUCCUGGAAAGCAUUCUCAAACGGUUUAGCGAUUUCCCGGUCUUCAUAUUCAAAUAGAUUUAUUGACUGACAUUCAGAUAGGAGCGAGUAGCUUUAUAAAAUGAAAACAUUUUAGUAACGAGGCAAGUUUUGUGAAACUGGUUCGUAGGUUCUUGAAUUAAUACGUGGUUUUGUAAUAGUCAUGUUUGGAUGAAGGAUAUUGAGACAAUAUAAUAAACAUUGUGUGCUGCUUACAGUAGAAUAGUCUGGAGAAUGAAAGCUUUUUUUCUUUAAAAUAUAAUGAAAGGUCUGAAGGUCUCACUUGGGCAGCACAUACUUAUUAGUAUGAAUUAACAGCAAGGAGUAGGGUUACCUCAAAUGUGUUUUCAUUACUAUAUACAGUUAGGAGUAUAUUUUACACUUAUCAGGGGAAAUUAAAGAAAACUGAGUUUUUCCUUCUCCCCCAUUGUUUUCGUAACUUAAAAAAACAAAACAGAACACUUUAUACCUAUCUGAAAAAACCCAUAAAAACAUACAGGGAGAAAGUC